CGGUUGUCGGAAAAGCAGAUCCAGAGAAGAUGGUUAAAGCUAUCAAGAAAACAAAAAAAAUAGCAACUAUUUCCUCACACAUAGACAACUCCGAAGAACCUGCUGCCCCGCCGUCUCCUGAUACAGACCCUCCUCCUCCGGCACCUGCUGAAGAACCUCCUGCUACAGAAGAAGAAACUCCACCGGCUCCUGAAGAAGCAAAGUCAGAAGAGAAUCCACCUCCACCUCCACAGGAGGAGAUACGUGGAGAGAUUCCGAUGGUGCACCCUUACCCACACCAAUGGAAUAAUUACGUGCAAGAUCAGUUUCCUUAUCAUGAUAAUUACUAUCUCACACCAAUGCAUAGUUACAAUAAUUCUGAACCGCCCUCUUCUGCAAAGAUUCUGGUAGUAGCUCCGGGAAGCUUUCAUCUUACAAAUGAAUAUUAUGACCAUCAGCAGCAGAAUUACGGCGGAGGGACUGAGGAUAACAUCAAUUCUAUCUUCAGUGAUGAGAACCCAAAUGCUUGUAUUAUUUUUUGAGAGAUUACUAAAAUAAUACCAUGGAGUGUGCUUAAUAACACAUAUAUAUUAAUUCACAUAUUAUAUUAUAUGUAAGAGCUCUAAAUCUAUUAAGCAUAUUAAUUCUCAAUUGCAUCAUUAUCAAAG
Molecule: long non-coding RNA, 647 nt
Filed under: Zostera marina
Lineage: Eukaryota; Viridiplantae; Streptophyta; Magnoliopsida; Alismatales; Zosteraceae
Description: long non-coding RNA (ZMAR_LNC002894)
Source: RNAcentral